GGUUGUAGCUCAGUGGUAGAGCACUUGCCCGGCAUGUGGGAGGUGCUGUGUUUGAUUCUCAGCACCG
RNAcentral lists this transfer RNA (67 nucleotides) under Marmota monax (woodchuck). RNAcentral describes it as "tRNA.Ala". Lineage: Eukaryota; Metazoa; Chordata; Mammalia; Rodentia; Sciuridae. The record is from RNAcentral.